GCGGUUCGGAUUCUUCGAAGCAACGGCAUAAAGGAAUUUGGUUAGAGUUUCUAUACUUCUCUAAUUUGGUCUUCUCGGUUUUACGAAAAGCUUUUUUUCGGUAUUUUUCUUGGAGUUUUCGUUGGAACAAGAAAGGUGGGAUUCACCAUAAGGUUCUUGGUUUUUUAUCCGGAGAAGACAUAAGGUGUAAGCUUGUACUUCUAUUUCUUCAUAUAGUGGAAUACAUCUCUCUCGCUCUCCCCGUGGACGUAGGCAAUUGCCGAACCACGUAAAUCUUGGUUUCUUCUUUCUGCAUUUAUUCUUUUACCGUUCGGUCGAUUUUCUCUAUUUUUCGUGCAUCUUUGUUGGUAGCACAUGACGGACGAUCCAUCCGGUUCCCAACAAGUGGUAUCAGAGCAUAAGGUUCGUGCUACAUCAGAGAUGUCGAAAGUCUCGUCUUCUAAGUUUGAGGUGGAGAAAUUUGACGGUAAAGGAAACUUCGGUCUCUGGCAGAGAAGAGUGAAAGCCCUUCUGGUUCAACAGGGCCUUCAUAAGGCGUUACUCGGAAAAUCGAAAAAGCCGACAUCGAUGAGCGACGAAGAUUGGGAGGAUAUUGAUCUGCGAGCGGUGAAUACAAUUAUAUUGUGUCUAGCAGAUGAGGUGAUGUAUAACGUAAUGGAUGAAGAAACUACAGUCGGCAUGUGGAACAAGCUAGAGAAGCUGUACAUGACCAAAAGCCUCUCGAACGUGCUGUACCUAAAGCAAAAAUUAUAUGGGCUACGCAUGAAGGAAGGUACGGCAAUAACGGAACACUUGAACACCUUUAAUAAAAUUAUUGCGGAUUUGCUCAGCAUUAAUGUCAAGGUUGACGAGGACGAUAAGGCGUUGAUUUUUCUUACAUCACUUCCGUCGUCCUACAAUCACUUGGUGACCACCAUACUGUACGGGAAGCAAACUCUAAAGAUGGAAGAUGUUACAUCGACACUUUUAUUUGAAGAGAUCAGGUUGCAGGCGAGAACCGAAGAAAGCAGUGCAGGUUUGGUCGUAAAUGAUACAAGUGGAGGAAGGGGACGAUCAAGAGAACGUGAUGCGGGUAAAGGAAGAUCCCGUUCCAAGUCAAAAUCGAAAAAGGUGAAGUGUUACUUCUGUAAGAAAGAGGGCCACAUGAAAAAGAACUGCGAAAAGAGGAAGGCUUGGCUGCGAAAUCAGAAUUCCUCUGCAGAUACGGCGAGCAUAGCCAGUGAUUCCGGUCAGGACGUCUUGACGGUUACAACAGAUUCUGACUCUCACGGUGACUGGAUAUUAGAUUCUGGUUGUUCUUAUCACAUGUCUCCAGACAGGUCUUUAUUUGAUACUUAUAAGUCUUGCGAAGGCAGUAAUGUUAUGAUGGGUAAUCGCACUAGCUGCAAGAUGGUCGGUAUCGGAACGGUAAAAAUAAAGAUGUUUGAUGGUGUGGUGAGGACGUUAACGGAUGUGAGACACAUUCCGGAUCUCAGGUUAAAUCUUAUAUCACUUGGUACUCUUGACUCUACUGGCUGUUCUAUUAGCAUUUCAGGUGGAGUCGUCAAGGUUAAAAAGGGUGCCAUGGUCGUCAUGAAGGGAGAGAAGAAAGGGAAUCUGUACAGACUGAUCGGCGAGUCGGUGAUUGGAGGCGUUGCGGUAACAUCCUCAGAAGAUCAUGAUGCUGAUGAUACGGAGCUCUGGCACAUGAGACUAGCCCACAUGAGUGAAAGAGGGAUGUUGGAACUGCAUAAAAGGGGAGUACUCAAAGGUAUUAAAUCCUGUAAACUUAAUUUCUGCAAAUAUUGUUUAUUUGGAAAACGGAAAAGGUUGAGUUUCAGGACCUCCAGUCAUAAAAGCAAAAGUAUACUUGAGUACAUCCAUUCAGACGUGUGGGGACCGGCUCCGGUGACUUCGAAAGGUGGUGCGCGAUAUUUUAUUACAUUUAUCGAUGAUUUCUCCCGUAAGGUUUGGGUAUUCUUCAUGAAGGAAAAGUCUGAGGCAUUUAUAAAGUUCAGACAUUGGAAGAAUGAGGUGGAGAAACAAACUGGGAAGCAGGUCAAGGUUCUUCGAACGGACAAUGGUGGAGAGUUCACUUCUCGGGAGUUUAAGAAAUUCUGCAAGGAUGAAGGUAUUGUACGUCAUUACACGGUUUCAGGUACUGCAUAGCAGAAUGGAGUAGCAGAAAGGAUGAACCGGACAUUGCUAGAACGUGCCAGUUCUAUGAGGUUAUGUGCAGAUUUGCCAAAGGAGUUCUCGGCUGAAGCAGUAGAUAUGGCGUGCUAUAUUAUUAAUCGAUCUCCCGCCACAGCAAUCGAACUCAAAACACCGGAGGAAGUAUGGACAAGUAAACUUGCAGAUUAUUCCUCCUUACGGGUCUUUGGUUGUCCUGCUUAUGUCCAUAUCCAGGAAAAUCAGCGCACAAAAUUAGAUUCGAAGUCAAAACCCUGCAUAUUUCUUGGAUACGAUAUGGGUGUUAAAGGAUACAAGCUGUGGGACCCUAUCGCCAAGAAGAAGGUGAUUAGCAGGGACGUAGUUUUUGACGAAAAAGCUAUGCCGCGUAAGGAUCAUCAGGAAGCUCAACGUGAAGAACAGUCAAAAACUACGCAGAUCCAGGUGGAGCGGCAAUAGGGUGUAGAUGAUCAGGUGGAGCAGCCCCACUAUCAGGAUGAUCAUGGUACACAAAGCGAUCCGAUUGAAAGCACUUCGGAAGAGCCCUACUCUAUCGCUAAAGGAAGGGAAAGGAGACAGAUUCGUCCACCUUUACGGUACAGGUUGGAGGAUAUAGUAUCUUAUGCCUUAUUAAUUACAUCAGAUGAUCCCACUUCCUAUCAGGAGGCGAUGCAGGACAGAGAUAGUGGCAGAUGGAUGGCGGCUAUGACAGAAGAGAUGGAGUCUCUACAGAAAAAUCAGACAUGGGAUCUGAUUCCAUUACCGGAAGGGAAGAGAUCUAUCGGUUGCAAGUGGAUCUACAAAAAGAAGCAGGGUGCAGAUGGAGAACCAGAAAAAUUCAAGGCGCGGUUAGUAGCCAAGGGCUAUGCGCAAGUAAAGGGAGUUGAUUUCAAUGAGAUUUUCUCACCGGUGGUGAAACACGCGUCAAUUAGGAUGCUUCUAGCUAUGGUGGCUAUGUUUGAUUUAGAGCUUCAGCAGCUUGACGUUCGAACCGCAUUUCUUCAUGGGGAUCUAGUAGAAGAAAUUUAUAUGGAACAACCUCAAGGUUUUGUUCAGCCGGGGAAGGAGAAUCUGGUGUGCAAACUGAAAAGAUCUCUCUACGGGUUGAAGCAGGCACCGAGGCAGUGGUAUAAGCGGUUUGACGGGUUUAUGAUCGAGCAUGGUUAUAGCAGAAGUUUAUAUGACAGUUGUGUCUACUAUCGGAGGCUUGAAGAUGGUUCGUUUAUUCUGCUUAUGCUAUAUGUAGACGAUAUGCUUAUAGCAGCUAAGAAUCCGAAUGAAGUGCAACAAUUAAAGGAUCAGUUGAGCCGAGAAUUUGACAUGAAGGACCUAGGAGGUGCUAGGAAAAUCCUAGGUAUGGAGAUCAGACGCGACCGCAUACAGGGUAAGUUAUGGUUAUCGCAGAAGACAUAUAUACGAGCUAUUAUAAAGCAAUUUAAUAUGUCAGAGGCGAAGGCGGUCAAGACUCCAUUAGCCCAACACUUCAAACUUUCUGAGGAGAUGUGUCCCAAGACGGAUGAGGAGAUUACUUCUAUGUCAAAGAUACCAUAUGCUAGUGCAGUCGGUUGCCUGAUGUAUGCUAUGAUCUGCACUAGGCCUGAUCUUUCACAUGCAGUUAGUGUUGUCAGUCGGUAUAUGUCGAAUCCAGGAAAACAACACUGGGAGGCCGUGAAGUGGAUUUUGCGGUAUCUGAAGGGCACAUCAGAUAAAGGUAUUCUCUACUCGAAAGAUUCUGGUAAUGAUGAAGUGAAGGGGUUUGUAGAUUCCGACUAUGCGGGUGAUUUGGACAAGCGUAGGUCUAUUACAGGUUACGUCUUUCUGCUGGGCGGCGGACCUAUCAGUUGGAAAUCUACGUUGCAGCGCACUGUAGCCUUGUCAACUACAGAAGCGGAGUAUAUGGCGGCAAUUGAAGCAGCUAAGGAAGCAGUCUGGCUUAGAGGCUUGGUUGGUGAACUCGGGAUCAUGCAGGAAAAAAUGAUUAUCGGUUGUGAUAGUCAGAGUGCUAUAUGUCUCGCCAGGAAUCCAGUUUACCAUGGGAGGACAAAGCACAUAGAAAUCAAGUAUCACAAAUUACGGGAGCUCACUAAUGAGGAUGAUGGAGAAAUUCAGCUUAUAAAGGUUUCCACAAAGGAUAAUGUAGCUGACAUCAUGACAAAGCCGGUAACAGCGGAUAAGUUUAGACACUGUCUAAACUUGGCUAAUUUGCAUGACUGCUAAUGACUGAAUGCCUCAGGGAGAGGGGGCGAUAAGAUGAGAGAGAGUAAUGAAGUAAAAAAGAAGUCAAGGUGGAGAAUGUUAAAGAUAUGCCUUCUUUUUUAUUGGUUUUGUCCAUGCACCGGGUCUACGGAAUAUAUUAAUUCUUAAAGUUGAUUCACGUUGGUGUAAGAGAUGAGGCUGAAUCUAAUUAAUAUUGGGAUUGCAUGCAUCAAAACCAUAUUCGGUUUAUACUUCUCAAACCGACUCCAAUUAACAUUGGUUGACUUUUGACCGGGUUAAUUAGCACUAUAUAUUCAUGCUGGGGUGAACCGUACGAUGCGUCAUGUGGUAGAAAUUUAAUUAGCAUCGGGCUAAUUAAUUCACAGCUUCCUAUAGCCGUACGGUAGCAAGAAAAAGAGAUGCGCGGUAGCACGCAUGCGACGGAUUGACGUUGGCGGCGGAGCGGCGGUUCUCAACCAAUUGCCUGAGCGGUUCGGAUUCUUCGAAGCAACGGCAUAAAGGAAUUUGGUUAGAGUUUCUAUACUUCUCUAAUUUGGUCUUCUCGGUUUUACGAAAAGCUUUUUUUCGGUAUUUUUCUUGGAGUUUUCGUUGGAACAAGAAAGGUGGGAUUCACCAUAAGGUUCUUGGUUUUUUAUCCGGAGAAGACAUAAGGUGUAAGCUUGUACUUCUAUUUCUUCAUAUAGUGGAAUACAUCUCUCUCGCUCUCCCCGUGGACGCAGGCAAUUGCCGAACCACGUAAAUCUUGGUUUCUUCUUUCUGCAUUUAUUUUUUUACCGUUCGGUCGAUUUUCUCUAUUUUUCGUGCAUCUUUGUUGGUAGCACAUGACGGACGAUCCAUCCGGUUCCCAACACGAAAGCCACACAAAAUAAUAUUAAUUCCUAUAUCAA
This 5255-nucleotide long non-coding RNA is filed under the name Ananas comosus (pineapple). Its description in RNAcentral is "long non-coding RNA (ACOM_LNC022084)". Lineage: Eukaryota; Viridiplantae; Streptophyta; Magnoliopsida; Poales; Bromeliaceae. The record is from RNAcentral.